CCUACGGACAUGGAGAAUCAGGAGUCCUAGAAUCAGGAGUCCAGGGAAAAGAUCCGUCCUCCGAGGGAAGGUGGAGACCAGGAAGAUGCUGCUAAGCCUCAGACAGGGGCCCCGUCUGCGUCCCCACCGCUGGCGUGUGCCGUGCGGCGUCACGUAUCUCACCAGGACGCAGGACUCAGGGACAACGCAGGAUGUGUCCCGACACCUGUGUCUCCUGCGAUGGGCCUGUCUCCUCCUCCUCCUCGAGGUUGGGCGCGAGUCACUGCGGGAUGACCUGGUCGCUGAAAUUGCACGUCGCGGCCAACGUUCCAGGACUCGGGCACAGCCCCAAGGCUGCCGUGCGGCCAGUGUCCAGUAGCAGGGAGCCACGGCGCCCUUCAGCGCACCGCCCCAUCGCGGAGCCCGAGCGCGUGUCCAGUCCUCUCUCAGGGUCUCCAUCGCUGCGACGAGGGGAGGCCUGGGCAGGCCUUGGGCAGGUGGGAUGUGCUGGGAAAGACGUUCUGACGUGAAGCUGGAAGAGAAUGGCACAUUUUUUCCGUGGAGCUGCCACUCUCUGUGUUCCUGGAGACGACUCGGGGCUGUGGCCCGCGUGCUG
Long non-coding RNA from Talpa occidentalis (Iberian mole), 595 nucleotides. RefSeq lists it as uncharacterized. The record is from RefSeq and is a predicted model, not a curated record. The transcript is spliced from 3 exons. Lineage: Eukaryota; Metazoa; Chordata; Mammalia; Eulipotyphla; Talpidae.